ACUCUAAAGGAAACAUAUGGAUACCGAACACUUAGUAUUCAGACGAUUUUUUCUCUUAUCCAUUGCAUCAUAGAGAGGACAUUUAUGUCAUGCUGUUAGCUCUAAUCACCUAUAGAAAAAACUUGGCCAGCGAUACAUGGCUUCCUGUUUCCCAGCUGUGUUUUCCAACUGUUCCUUCUGCUAAGGUAUUUUUGGGGGUAUAACAGUCUGGCUUGGCCUUGCAACUUUUGGCCAAUGGAAUGUGGCAGAGUGACAGCAUUCCAGAUCUGAGCCUAAGCCUCAUAAGGCAUGGCACACUUCUGUUCUCUCACUUGGACCUCUUAGAUCGUCAUGAAAAGACACCCAGGCUGGUCUCCUGGAUGAAGUGAUGUGUGAAAUGGAGCCAAUAGUCUAAGCUGAGGGUAUCUUACAUCAGCCAACAGCCAGCUGACUGUCAGACAUGUCAGUGUGCCUAAGCCAAGCCCAGAACUUCUUUGCCAAGCCUACUGAAGAUCUUUUAUCUUCUACUCAUCAACAAAAUUAAUGCCUUCGUGUCUGUGAUAAUUUGAGUUAC
Molecule: long non-coding RNA, 553 nt
Organism: Prionailurus viverrinus (fishing cat)
Lineage: Eukaryota; Metazoa; Chordata; Mammalia; Carnivora; Felidae
Exons: 3
Source: RefSeq, a predicted model, not a curated record